Callithrix jacchus (white-tufted-ear marmoset) is the source of this 1640-nucleotide long non-coding RNA. The record is from Ensembl. Lineage: Eukaryota; Metazoa; Chordata; Mammalia; Primates; Cebidae.
AAUUUUUUAUUAUUCUGGUUGCUUUCUCCUUUGCAUUAUUAGAGAAAGUAAGUAAAUGUGAAAGACCUUCUGGUUUUAUUAUAUGGUUAAAUAAUGAGCCCUAAAAGAAUUAUCAUUCUGAUUUAGAAUGGAUAUGCAUUAUCACAUUCUCAGACUUUCAAAGGCUGUCAAGUAUCUAUCUAGGACUCACUGUAUAAAAAUAUCAGCACUGGGAAGCCUAAAGUCAGGACAGACUUGUACAUGGUGAAAAGGAAGGCACAGGGGAAUUGAAUAGAGCUGAGAAUCCAGAUGUUUUUAAGGCUCAGUUCCAUCGAAGGGCUAAAGCGAAAAAUUACUCCUGGUUUCAGCUUUUUGGAAGAGGGUCCAAGUCCAACCGGGCUCUUAAGAGACACAGCAGAGGAGCAGAGAUUGGCAUCUGUUCUGGAACCUGAAGAUUGGGUCUUCUGAGAACAUCAAAGAAAGACUGUCCUUGCCAUCCACACUACAGCAAAACUUCAGGACCUUGAAUUUUGGGUUCAUAAUCUAACAACUGAGAAGGGUCCCUCCACACUCUUGGAACUGUACACCCAUUGGAACCCUUAAGGUAAAGCUAACCAGGGAAGUUUCUCCCCAGAAGAAUAUGGAGUCCUUGAUGUGAACAGCUUUUCCCAAGAUCAUAGAUCAAGACUUCUCUACAAUCAUGAGAUUCUUACCUUUGAACAUUUGUCCUUGCUUAUGCCUCUAUGAACGAUAGAAAUGGAAAAGGGGUCUAUUGUGUGCACUUAUGGGGUUUACUUUUAUUUGUGAAGGAUUUUGCAGCCAGCCUUGUAUAUGGAUAAUCUUGUACUUUGAUAGAUAAAAGGUGAAGGCCCAAGGUAGGUGAGAAACUUUACUGGUACAUGCGUCGUCUCAUAAUUAAUCAGAAACAGAAUAUUGGUUCACCUCUCUUAACCCACAUCAUGAGUUAAAGAGAACAUUGCCAGGAGGUUUUCACUCUUCUAGAAGGGCAUCAUUUGUUAGGUCCUUUUUCCUUGAUUAGAAGAGAAGUAAUGAUUAGAAAUGUAUCACUCAUGGUAGGCUCUAUAGCAGAUAGAGGCUACAGUUACAUGACAGAAUUUUAUUUCUUUUGUAAAAGUUAUGAUAGAAUUGGCUGAACAGAGAAGUACCUGUGCAGCUACUGGCACUGGUGGCCUGUGAAGAAAUACAUCAGAUGAAGAUUAUAGGGAUUCAUUGGUAGGGGAUUCAUGAAGAGAUUGCUUAGUUUGGUGAGUAGACUCUUUAUCUAGCUCACUCUUUGAUCUAUUUGAUGUCAGGUGGUUUGGUUUAUGCAGAUCCUGGGUAAGGAGCAUACUCCAAACUUGGUAUUAUCUUCCUAAUAGGCAUUAUAAUAGUCUCCCUGGUGUACUGUGUUCUUUCAAAGGUUUUAAGUGCUUCCAUGCAGCCAUUGCCACAAUAUCAAAUGGUCUGUCCUCAACUGGAAUGACAAGAGCUUAAAGAAAUGUGUGACCAUGAGGACACCAUAACCUAUGAAUGGCGCGUUGAGACAAGAAAUCCAAAAUCAUGGUAACUGAGAGUAGCACUAAGGCACUAAAUUUUGGUCACACGCUUACCUAAGUGAGAACCUGACCAAAAAGGGAAUUUUUUUAAAACAAAAUUAUGGG